GAAAGGCUCGCAAGGGCUGAGUAGAGUGGCGCACGGGUGAGUAACACGUGGAUAACCUGCCCAGGAGUGGGGGAUAACGAUUCGAAAGGUUCGCUAAGACCGCAUGGGCUCGCGUUCCCGCAAGGGGGCAAGAGUAAAGCCGAAAGGCGCUGGAGGAGGGGCCUGCGGCCCAUCAGGUAGUUGGUGUGGUAAAAGCGCACCAAGCCGAUGACGGGUAGCUGUUCUGAGAGGAAGACCAGCCACACUGGCACUGAAACACGGGACAGACUCCUACGGGAGGCAGCAGUGGGGGUUUCUAGAAGUCUCCUACAAAUUUCAG
RNAcentral lists this small RNA (319 nucleotides) under uncultured bacterium. Its description in RNAcentral is "bacterial SSU rRNA". It matches the Rfam family "Bacterial small subunit ribosomal RNA", at positions 70 to 358 of the family's 1533-position model. The record is from RNAcentral.